This 264-nucleotide ribosomal RNA is filed under the name uncultured Glomus. RNAcentral's name for it is "partial 18S ribosomal RNA". It matches the Rfam family "Eukaryotic small subunit ribosomal RNA", at positions 624 to 885 of the family's 1831-position model. Lineage: Eukaryota; Fungi; Glomeromycota; Glomeromycetes; Glomerales; Glomeraceae. The record is from RNAcentral.
AAGCUCGUAGUUGAAUUUCGGGAUUGACGUGAUGGUCAUGCCUUAAGGGUAUGAACUGUUACUGUUGAUUUCUCACCUUCUGGAGAAACUUGAUGUCCUUUAUUGGGUGUCUUGCGGAUCCAGGACCUUUACCUUGAAAAAAAUUAGAGUGUUUAAAGCAGGCAUUUUUGCUCGAAUACAUUAGCAUGGAAUAAUAGAAUAGGACGGCAUGGUUCUAUUUUGUUGGUUUCUAGGAUCACCGUAAUGAUUAAUAGGAUAGUUGGG